RNAcentral lists this unclassified non-coding RNA (1473 nucleotides) under Leishmania donovani. RNAcentral's name for it is "gene:LdHU3.34.5850(CDS-product:hypothetical_prote in_conserved)". Lineage: Eukaryota; Euglenozoa; Kinetoplastea; Trypanosomatida; Trypanosomatidae. The record is from RNAcentral.
GGGCUGCAUAUUGCGCAGCCGCACGCUCAUGUCUGCGCGCAACGCGCUACCUGCCUUGCUGCUUGCAUACGCAUCCUUGAUGUGUGAGUGUGAGGCAGCAGGGGGUUUCUUUUUCAUAUCCAGACAUAUCCGUGCGCUGGUUUCGCGUGUAGCGAUAAAACACCUUUGAUCAGCCAUUUCGCGCUUCGCACUUUCUCUGCUUCGCAGCGUGAAUGUGUCAAGUGGGUGCUGCUGACGUUACUCUCUCUCCUGUCUUUUGUUGCCGCUGGGCGCUGCGGCGGCGUCUGCUGGACAGAGAUGCGGGCGAGACGCUCUUGUAAGUUUGCUGAGUACCUCUCCACCUACGCCAUUCUCGAGCACAUUGGCAUUCACCCGACGACGCUGAUUGAGAAACGUGAUGCCGCAGUAGGAGUCGGCGUGUACGUGCGCGAUGCCUGCGACGCCGGAACCGCCCUCCUCGCCGUGCCGUCGAAGCGGUUCUGCACCACUUCCGUGCUAUCGCGAGUGGGGCUGAAAACCUCCUUUUGCAGCCCGUGGCGUGCGGACAGCGAAGUGCCGUCGUCGGCUUCUGCUGCGCCGGCAUGCGACGUUCAAGGUGGCAUCCUUUCCUUUCUCACGGGGAGUACACAGUGGCCAGAGCUAGCAUGGCGGCUUGCCCUCGAGCAGCACCGCAGUGUGUCGCCUCUGUGGGGCUGGCUACAGAGCCUUCCGUCUGUAGAGGAGCUAGCUGACCGUAGGGACGCGGCAGAGCGCCAGUGCCGCGUGCACCACACGACGCUGCUGCCGUACUACCUCAAAGGUCGCCAGCGCAUUCGAGAAGAGACGUUGGCUGCCUACUCGCAGUUGCGUGCCGACAAUAUUCUGCCGGGCUUUGACCGCUUUGCGUGGGCAGUGGACGUGGUGCUGUCUCGCGGGCUGCUCCUGCCGACGGCGUGGCCCGCCGCCGGGGGCGUGCUCACGAACAGCACGACGGACGGCGAGCAGGAGGAGGAGGACAGCGACCCGCUGCCUCACUUGUCGCUCGAGUGUGGUGUGGUGCCUUUUCUGGACCUUGUCAACGCCCCAGACGACGUCGGUCGUGCGGUCAACGCAGACAUCGAAAUUGCAACGUCGCUCGAGACCCUUCCGAGAUUCCUCACCGACGAGUUGGCGGCUGACGCUACGGCUAGAGGACGCGGCGGCGAUGAUCUUGCGGAGGUGAAGCGCUUGCUAGAGACGCACUACUAUCUCUGCCUUACCCUGCGGAAGCCGCUGCGUGCCUCUGAAGAGGUCAUUCUCGACUGGCAGGUGCCCGUGUUGACGACCGAGGUGCUGACGGCUGCUGAAGACGCGAUUGUCAGCCGUUUUCUCAAGUACAUGUUUUAGCCUCGGUGGCACCACCGCCCCCUCUCCCCCCUUCCCCUGCAGAGCCGACUGUCUUCCCACCGACCUGCCGACCAAUUAGUAAAGGUGCACUGUAUUCGCAUGAUGCGU